CCGUUAACGAACGAGACCUUAACCUAUUAAAUAGUUGCUUGAACACAUGAAUAUUCUAUUCUUUGUUCGGUUAACUUCUUAGAGGGACUCUUCACUGAGAGAGUGAAUGGAAGUUUGAGGCAAAAACAGGUCUGUGAUGCCCUUAGAUGUUCUGGGCCACACGCGCGUUACACUGACAUAUUCAACGAGCAUUUUCCUGACCCGAUGGGGUUGGGUAAUCUUUUAAAUGUAUGUCGUGCUGGGGAUAGAUCAUUGUAAUUAUUGGUCUUGAACGAGGAAUUCCUAGUAAGUACGGGUCAUCAACUCGUGCUGAUUACGUCCCUGCCCUUUGUACACACCGCCCGUCGCUAAUACCGAUUGAAUGGAUA
This 368-nucleotide ribosomal RNA is filed under the name Eukaryota sp. RNAcentral's name for it is "SSU rRNA". It matches the Rfam family "Eukaryotic small subunit ribosomal RNA", at positions 1325 to 1699 of the family's 1831-position model. The record is from RNAcentral.